ACGAACGCUGGCGGCGUGCUUAACACAUGCAAGUCGAACGGAAAGGCCCUUCGGGGUACUCGAGUGGCGAACGGGUGAGUAACACGUGGGUGAUCUGCCCUGCACUUUGGGAUAAGCCUGGGAAACUGGGUCUAAUACCGAAUACACCUCAUGGACUGCAUGGUUUGUGGGGGAAAGCUUUUGCGGUGUGGGAUGGGCCCGCGGCCUAUCAGCUUGUUGGUGGGGUGAUGGCCUACCAAGGCGACGACGGGUAGCCG
This 257-nucleotide ribosomal RNA is filed under the name Mycobacterium sp. ISOM294_OTU181. RNAcentral's name for it is "partial 16S ribosomal RNA". It matches the Rfam family "Bacterial small subunit ribosomal RNA", at positions 29 to 289 of the family's 1533-position model. Lineage: Bacteria; Bacillati; Actinomycetota; Actinomycetes; Mycobacteriales; Mycobacteriaceae. The record is from RNAcentral.